RNAcentral lists this ribosomal RNA (511 nucleotides) under uncultured bacterium. RNAcentral's name for it is "partial 16S ribosomal RNA". It matches the Rfam family "Bacterial small subunit ribosomal RNA", at positions 28 to 507 of the family's 1533-position model. The record is from RNAcentral.
GACAAACGCUGGCGGCAUGCCUAACACAUACAAGUCGAACGGACAGAACAGGGAAGCUUUUCGGAGUGGAACUGGAAAGUUAGUGGCGGAUGGGUGAGUAACGCGUGGACAACCUACCUUGUAAAGGGGAAUAACCUCGAGAAAUCGAAGCUAAUACCCCAUAAUAACCUUGCUUCGCAUGAAGUAAGGAGGAAAGGCGGCCUUAGCGCUGUCGAUACAAGAUGGGUCCGCGUCUGAUUAGCUAGUUGGUGAGGUAAAGGCUCACCAAGGCGACGAUCAGUAGCCGGCCUGAGAGGGUGAACGGCCACAUUGGGACUGAGACACGGCCCAAACUCCUACGGGAGGCAGCAGUAGGGAAUCUUCCGCAAUGGGCGAAAGCCUGACGGAGCAAUGCCGCGUGAGUGAAGAAGGCCUUCGGGUUGUAAAACUCUGUCCUUAUCGAAGAGAGAGUGUUGUAGUAACUGACAAUACUAGGACGGUAGAUGAGGAGGAAGCCCCGGCUAACUAUGUG